ACGAAAACGUCCUUAAUUAGAUACAAGUAUAUCAUUUCGUCCCAGUAUUAUAGAAUUAAUAAAAUGCCAGUUUUAAAUACUUUUACAUUACACAUGACAUUUUUCUUAAUAAGUCAGUGUUAUUUUACAACGGCUAUGUCUACAACUGCAGUAACAGAAGCCAGUAAAACUAAGACAAGGGUCUCCAGUUUUGACCACAACAUAAUAAACAAACUAUUCCCAAGUGACGACGUGAAGUGCGCUGGCAAUACAGAUAAAAUCAAUCGAUAUAAAAGACAAGGUCCGGCCGGAAUUUCACCCCCAGCAAUGAUACGCCUUUUUCUAAAAUUAGUCAAGAAUCUUCUCUUCGGACAAUUUGAAGACAUUAAUCACCCAAUGUCUAAACAAAAUGUUGAACCCGUUUUAAUUAAUAUGAAGAAGGGUUACUUUCCAUACAUGUACGAAAAAGAUGCGGACACAAAUGGAAAUCAAUUAUAUCAUGGAAAGUAAAUGGUUUCAGAGCUAAAAACAACACAACUGCAGUAACUAUUGAUUUAACAACAAAAAUAAAAGAAAAUAUCGAUAAAAAGCACUGUGUACUGGGUGUCUUCAUUGAUUUGAAAAAAACUUUUGAUACCGUAAGUCACAAACUAUUAUUCAAAAAACUGUAAUAUAUGCCUAUCAGGGGAUGUGUAUUAAAAAAGUUAAAAUCGUAUCUAAAUCUAGAUAGAAAAAAUAGACAAUUUUGAGAGUAGUACACUGUCAAUCAUAUACGGAGUUCCGCAGGGGUCCAUAUUGGGUCCGCUACUGUUCUUGAUAUAAAUGGCAUCGCAGAACUAAAUCUACAUGGUCACAUAAUCUUAUAUGCGUAUGAUACGUGUUUAUUUUAUUUCGGAGCCAAUUUUCCCGACAUUAUUUCAAAAGCCCAAGAGGACCUCAAUGUUCUCUCUGAGUGGUUUAAAAAUAACUUAAUAACCAUAAAUAUUUCCAAAACUUGUUACAUUGUCUUUAAAGCCAACAAUAAAAAAUCUCGACAGCUCGACACACCAACUAUUGGUAACAUCCCACUAGUACAAAAAGACUGCGAAAAGUAACUUGGCUUGAGAAUUGAUCAUCACUUAACAUGGCACUUACAGGAUCUCUUCAUGGUAUAAACCGAUGCAUACCUAAAAAUUUACUUUAUACUAUAAUAUUCUUAUAAAGUCGCAUCCAUUAUAUCUCAAAGAAAUCUGGGGAAGUGCCAGAAAAACAAAACUGCAAGUAUUACAACGAUUGUUUCGUUAUCCAUACUUAAUACCAACAUCUAAAAUUUUUGAAGAAACAAAUCUGAUGAAUAUCAAACACACACAUAACACUUGCGUCCUGAUUAGGAAGAUUACGGAUAAGAUCACAUACACUAGCUUAUCAUUUAUAAAAAAAAAAUAUACAAAUUUCUAAACGCCGUCUUCGUCGACCAAGCUUGCUUGUUUUGCCAAAAAUACGCACUAAUUAUGAUAAAAAGAGUACCUAUAAUAUAUGAAGGAGCACAACUAUUUAACAAACUACUCACAAAUUUAAAAAGUGUUAGCUCACUCGGCAUUUUUAAAUCUCGCCUAUCUAGAUAGCAAACUGUCUUGAAUAACUUAAUAAAUGACUAAUGUCCGAAUACUCAAACGCUACUCAAUUGUAAGACGCUCUCAAUACUAGUUCUGUCCCUAUCAACUUUAUAAAAUGACAGAAAUAGCACGAUAUUUAAGUACAACUUAAAAUUGAGUAGCAUUUCAGUAUUCGGGCGUAAGAGUUUAAUUGCUGAUUGAUAUUAUAAUACU
Molecule: RNA transcript, 1787 nt
Organism: Spodoptera frugiperda (fall armyworm)
Lineage: Eukaryota; Metazoa; Arthropoda; Insecta; Lepidoptera; Noctuidae
Exons: 4
Source: RefSeq, a predicted model, not a curated record